This 98-nucleotide non-coding RNA is filed under the name Paraburkholderia phenazinium. Its description in RNAcentral is "Glycine sequence". It matches the Rfam family "Glycine riboswitch aptamer". Rfam says of the family: This family represents the bacterial glycine riboswitch. Glycine riboswitches usually consist of two metabolite-binding aptamers domains with similar structures in tandem. Lineage: Bacteria; Pseudomonadati; Pseudomonadota; Betaproteobacteria; Burkholderiales; Burkholderiaceae. The record is from Rfam by way of RNAcentral.
CGAUUGAUAUCGGAAGAGUCUCUACCUGCCGCGGCAGGCAGAGCGCCGAAGGAGCAACCGCCCCGGAAACUCUCAGGCUAAAGGACCGGCAUCGCUUU